Molecule: ribosomal RNA, 431 nt
Filed under: uncultured bacterium
Lineage: Bacteria
Description: partial 16S ribosomal RNA
Rfam family: Bacterial small subunit ribosomal RNA
Source: RNAcentral
AACGAACGCUGGCGGCAGGCUUAACACAUGCAAGUCGAACGCCCCGCAAGGGGAGUGGCAGACGGGUGAGUAACGCGUGGGAACAUACCCUUUUCUACGGAAUAGCUCUGGGAAACUGGAAUUAAUACCGUAUACGCCCUACGGGGGAAGGAUUUAUCGGGGAAGGAUUGGCCCGCGUUGGAUUAGCUAGUUGGUGGGGUAAAGGCCUCCCAAGGCGACGAUCCAUAGCUGGUCUGAGAGGAUGAUCAGCCACAUUGGGACUGAGACACGGCCCAAACUCCUACGGGAGGCAGCAGUGGGGAAUAUUGGACAAUGGGCGCAAGCCUGAUCCAGCCAUGCCGCGUGAGUGAUGAAGGCCUUAGGGUUGUAAAGCUCUUUCACCGAUGAAGAUAAUGACGGUAGUCGGAGAAGAAGCCCCGGCUAACUUCGUG